CGUCAGAGGCAGAGCUGUGUUCCAGAGGCUUCCACAGGAAUGAAGGGAGACUGCGUGUUGACAGAGUGUGCUGGCUUUCUGUAAGAAGGGAACUGGAGACAUACCUUCAGAAGGAGAGGGGUUCCCCUUGCAGCUCCCUGCCUUUCUGGUAUCUUCUGCAGUACAUGGAAAGCAAGUUCCUUUAUGCAGCAUGAAGACUAUUCUGACCCCAGCACACCCACUACCAGUGGGCAUGUUCAUUAGCCUGGAGCUGAAUUCCGAAUGAACAGAUUUUGUGUAACGCAAAUACCCCUUCAACAAGAGAG
This is a long non-coding RNA of Mastomys coucha (southern multimammate mouse), 305 nucleotides long. RefSeq lists it as uncharacterized. Lineage: Eukaryota; Metazoa; Chordata; Mammalia; Rodentia; Muridae. The transcript has 3 exons. The record is from RefSeq and is a predicted model, not a curated record.